RNAcentral lists this ribosomal RNA (327 nucleotides) under uncultured eukaryote. RNAcentral describes it as "partial 18S ribosomal RNA". It matches the Rfam family "Eukaryotic small subunit ribosomal RNA", at positions 1470 to 1796 of the family's 1831-position model. The record is from RNAcentral.
CCCUUAGAUGUUCUGGGCCGCACGCGCGCUACACUGACGAAUGCAACGAGCUUAUAACCUUGGCCGAAAGGUCUGGGUAAUCUCCAAAUCUCGUCGUGAUGGGGAUAGAUUAUUGCAAUUAUUAAUCUUCAACGAGGAAUGCCUAGUAAGCGCAAGUCAUCAGCUUGCGUUGAUUACGUCCCUGCCCUUUGUACACACCGCCCGUCGCUCCUACCGAUUGAAUGGUCCGGUGAAGCGUUCGGACCGUGGCCUUUGGACGGUUCGCCGUCUGUUGGCUGCGGGAAGUUCGUUAAACCUUAUCAUUUAGAGGAAGGAGAAGUCGUAACA